This is a non-coding RNA of Colinus virginianus (northern bobwhite), 31 nucleotides long. The record is from Rfam. NCBI's taxonomy places the organism in Eukaryota, Metazoa, Chordata, Aves, Galliformes, Odontophoridae.
CCGACUUCAGCUACAGUGCUAGCUAAGUCGG